GGGGCUGAUUCUGGAUUCGACGAGAUUAGCGAACCCCAAGGUGCAUGCCGAGGUGCGGUGGCCUCGUAAAAACCGCAAAAAAAAUAGUUGCAAAAACAACAGAACUAGCACUUUUCUCUAAUGUUCCUGUUAACGAUUCUGUUCACAGUUCAUUAAUGGAGUUAGCAGCCUAAGAAACUGCAAGUGCCCUUUCUCCCUAGCCUCCGCUCUUAGGACGGGGAUCAAGAGAGGUCAAAUUUAAAAGAGAUCGCGUGGAUGCCUUGCUUGGGGUUGAAGCGUUAAACCUAAUCAAGCUAUGUUUGUUAGUGGCGUUGUCCAUCCGCAGUAACAGAUGAACUAACGACUGGACUAAGCAUGUAGUACCGACGGCGUAGUAAUUUCGGACGGGGGUUCAAAUCCCCCCAGCUCCACCA
This 413-nucleotide transfer-messenger RNA is filed under the name Candidatus Regiella insecticola. RNAcentral's name for it is "Regiella insecticola Standard tmRNA". It matches the Rfam family "transfer-messenger RNA". Rfam says of the family: Bacterial tmRNA, also known as 10Sa RNA or SsrA, is named for its dual tRNA and mRNA-like properties. RNAcentral also lists the same sequence under 1 other name. Lineage: Bacteria; Pseudomonadati; Pseudomonadota; Gammaproteobacteria; Enterobacterales; Enterobacteriaceae. The record is from RNAcentral.